GCGGCCUAUCAGCUUGUUGGUGGGGUAAUGGCCUACCAAGGCGUCGACGGGUAGCCGGCCUGAGAGGGUGUACGGCCACAUUGGGACUGAGACACGGCCCAGACUCCUACGGGAGGCAGCAGUGGGGAAUAUUGCACAAUGGGCGAAAGCCUGAUGCAGCGACGCCGCGUGGGGGAUGAAGGCCUUCGGGUUGUAAACUCCUUUCGCUAGGGACGAAGAGUUAUAUUGACGGUACCUGGAGAAGAAGCACCGGCUAACUACGUGCCAGCAGCCGCGGUAAUACGUAGGGUGCGAGCGUUGUCCGGAAUUACUGGGCGUAAAGAGCUCGUAGGUGGUUUGUCGCGUCGUCUGUGAAAUCCCGGGGCUUAACUCCGGGCGUGCAGGCGAUACGGGCAUAACUUGAGUGCUGUAGGGGAGACUGGAAUUCCUGGUGUAGCGGUGAAAUGCGCAGAUAUCAGGAGGAACACCAAUGGCGAAGGCAGGUCUCUGGGCAGUAACUGACGCUGAGGAGCGAAAGCAUGGGUAGCGAACAGGAUUAGAUACCCUGGUAGUCCAUGCCGUAAACGGUGGGCGCUAGGUGUAGGGGACUUCCACGUCUUCUGUGCCGCAGCUAACGCAUUAAGCGCCCCGCCUGGGGAGUACGG
Molecule: ribosomal RNA, 644 nt
Filed under: uncultured Actinomycetes bacterium
Lineage: Bacteria; Bacillati; Actinomycetota; Actinomycetes
Description: bacterial SSU rRNA
Rfam family: Bacterial small subunit ribosomal RNA
Source: RNAcentral